CCUACGGGUGGCAGCAGUGAGGAAUAUUGGUCAAUGGGCGAGAGCCUGAACCAGCCAAGUCGCGUGAGGGAGUACUGCCCUAUGGGUUGUAAACCUCUUUUGUCGGGGAGCAAAAGCCGGACGUGUCCGGCUGUGAGAGUACCCGAAGAAAAAGCAUCGGCUAACUCCGUUCCAGCAGCCGCGGUAAUAUGGAGGAUGCGAGCGUUAUCCGGAUUUAUUGGGUUUAAAGGGGGCGCAGGCGGAUUUUUAAGUCAGCGGUAAAAUCGUUGGGCGCAACCCCAUCCAGCCGUUGAAACUGGGGAUCUAGAGUGUGCGAGAGGUAUGCGGAAUGCGUGGUGUAGCGGUGAAAUGCAUAGAUAUCACGCAGAACCCCGAUUGCGAAGGCAGCAUACCGGUGCACAACUGACGCUCAGGCACGAAAGCGUGGGUAUCGAACAGGAUUAGAUACCCCAGUAGUC
RNAcentral lists this ribosomal RNA (458 nucleotides) under uncultured bacterium. Its description in RNAcentral is "partial 16S ribosomal RNA". It matches the Rfam family "Bacterial small subunit ribosomal RNA", at positions 338 to 795 of the family's 1533-position model. The record is from RNAcentral.